This 497-nucleotide ribosomal RNA is filed under the name uncultured bacterium. RNAcentral describes it as "partial 16S ribosomal RNA". It matches the Rfam family "Bacterial small subunit ribosomal RNA", at positions 28 to 507 of the family's 1533-position model. The record is from RNAcentral.
GAUGAACGCUGGCGGCGUGCCUAAUACAUGCAAGUCGAGCGAACAGACGAGGAUCUUGCUCCUCUGACGUUAGCGGCGGACGGGUGAGUAACACGUGGAUAACCUACCUAUAAGACUGGGAUAACUUCGGGAAACCGGAGCUAACACCGGAUAAUAUAUUGAACCGCAUGGUUCAUUAGUGAAAGACGGUUUUGCUGUCACUAAUAGAUGGAUCCGCGCCGCAUUAGCUAGUUGGUAAGGUAACGGCUUACCAAGGCAACGAUGCGUAGCCGACCUGAGAGGGUGAUCGGCCACACUGGAACUGAGACACGGUCCAGACUCCUACGGGAGGCAGCAGUAGGGAAUCUUCCGCAAUGGGCGAAAGCCUGACGGAGCAACGCCGCGUGAGUGAUGAAGGUCUUCGGAUCGUAAAACUCUGUUAUUAGGGAAGAACAAAUGUGUAAGUAGCUAUGCACGUCUUGACGGUACCUAAUCAGAAAGCCACGGCUAACUACGUG